UGGUACCUACGGGGGGCAGCAGUGAGGAAUAUUGGUCAAUGGUCGGGAGACUGAACCAGCCAAGCCGCGUGAGGGAUGAAGGUACAGAGUAUCGUAAACCUCUUUUGUCAGGGAACAAAGGCGGGGACUAGUCCCCGGAUGAGGGUACCUGAAGAAAAAGCAUCGGCUAACUCUGUGCCAGCAGCCGCGGUAAUACGGAGGAUGCGAGCGUUAUCCGGAUUUAUUGGGUUUAAAGGGUGCGCAGGCGGCCUGUUAAGUCAGCGGUAAAAGCCCGGGGCUCAACCACGGCGAGCCGUUGAAACUGG
This 305-nucleotide ribosomal RNA is filed under the name uncultured bacterium. RNAcentral's name for it is "bacterial SSU rRNA". It matches the Rfam family "Bacterial small subunit ribosomal RNA", at positions 333 to 636 of the family's 1533-position model. The record is from RNAcentral.